CCUGGUUACACGCUCACCUUGAGCUUGUGCGCACACCUGGUUCUCGGAUCUGCACAAAGACCUUGAAGACACUUUGAUAAAAGUGCAAUUUCGUCCAACCAAUACUGAGCAUGUACCCUUCCAAUAAGUGUGCAUUCAAAGAAAGCACCAGCACAAUGAAGGAACUAUCCCAUUAUAUUGGAAGACAGUGAAUGAAACUCCUUCAUUCAAGUUAUGGAAGAAACAGCAGAAAACUGCAGGUCAAUCACAUUUUAAAGGGGAUAACAUUUGAGGAGCUGCCCGGAUGGAUGCAGCUCCAACAACACUCAAGAAGUUUGACACCAUCCUGGACAAAGCAGCCUCCUGACUGGCACCGCAUCCACAAGCAUCUACUCCCUCCACCACCAAUGCUCAGUAGCAGCAACAUGAGCCAUCGACAAGAAUGGACUACUGAAGUUCACCAAAGAUCCUCCGACAGCACCUUCUUUCAUCAAGGGGGUCAAGGGUAGCAAAUACCUGGGAACACCAUCACCUGCAAGUUACUCUCAAAGCCACUCACCAUCCUGACUUCAAAAUAUAUCGCCAGCCCUUCACCGUCAGUGGGUCAAAAUCCUGGAAGUCCCUCCCUAAGGGCAUUGUGGGUCAACUUAGAGCAAAUGGACUGCAGCAGUUCAAGAAGGCAGCUCACCAUCACCUUCUCAAGGGCAACUAGGAAUCGGCAAUAAAUGUUGGCUAACCUGCAAUGUCCAUCUCCCAUAAGUAAUAAAUAAAUUAGCUAACUGGCCUGUAAUUUUCUGCUUUCUGUCUCCCUCCCUUUUUAAAUAAAGAAUUUAUAUUUGCUAUCUUUUAAUUUAAUGGGACUGCCCCCAAAUCAAGGCCGUUUUGGAAAAUGACAACCAAUGUGUCAACUAUCUCACUGGCUAUUUCUUUAAAGACUCAAUAAGUCAUCAAGAUCCAAGCAUUUGUCAGUCUGCAGUUCUAACAAUUUAGUCAGUGUCCUUUCUCUGGUGAUUGUGAGUUUCUUGAAUUCCUCCCUUUUAGCCAUUUACCAAUUUACAGCUGCUCCUUAAGUGUUACUUGUUUCUUCUGUAGAGAAGAUCAAUGAAAACUACCUUUUUAAUUCAUCUGAUGCUCCAGGCUCACUUUCUAUAUGACAAAUGCUCAUUUUUUUAAAAAAUUACUGAAAUUUGUAGUAUCUGCUUUUAAAUUUUGGCUAACA
Long non-coding RNA from Stegostoma tigrinum, 1198 nucleotides. RefSeq lists it as uncharacterized. The record is from RefSeq and is a predicted model, not a curated record. Lineage: Eukaryota; Metazoa; Chordata; Chondrichthyes; Orectolobiformes; Stegostomatidae. The transcript is spliced from 4 exons.